AGAGUUUGAUCCUGGCUCAGGAUGAACGCUGGCGGCGUGCUUAAUACAUGCAAGUCUAAGGGGUCUGUUCCUUUCGGGGAGCAGGUCACUGGCGCACGGGUGAGUAACACGUAAGUCAUCUACCUCUGGGUCUGGCAUAACACCGGGAAACCGGCGCUAAUACCAGAUGAUACCGCAAGGUCAAAGCUGAGGCGCCCGGAGAUGAGCUUGCGUCUGAUUAGCUAGUUGGUGGGGUAAUGGCCCACCAAGGCAACGAUCAGUAGCCGGUCUGAGAGGAUGAUCGGCCACAUUGGGACUGAGACACGGCCCAGACUCCUACGGGAGGCAGCAGUAAGGAAUAUUGCGCAAUGGACGAAAGUCUGACGCAGCAACGCCGCGUGCAGGAUGAAGGCCCUUUGGGUUGUAAACUGCUGUAGCAGGGGAAUAAGAGCUCCUUAUGGGAGCGUGAAGGUACCCUGAAAGUAAGCGCCGGCUAACUACGUGCCAGCAGCCGCGGUAAUACGUAGGGCGCAAGCGUUGUCCGGAUUCACUGGGUGUAAAGGGUGCGCAGGCGGGAAGGCAAGUCAGAGGUGAAAUCUCACGGCUCAACCGUGAAACUGCCUUUGAUACUGCUUUUCUUGAGUCAGGGAGAGGUUGAUGGAAUUCCAGGUGUAGCGGUGAAAUGCGUAGAUAUCUGGAAGAACACCGGUGGCGAAGGCGGUCAACUGGCCCUGAACUGACGCUGAGGCACGAAAGCGUGGGGAUCAAACAGGAUUAGAUACCCUGGUAGUCCACGCGGUAAACGAUGGGCACUAGGUGUGGGGGGUAUCCACUCCUCCCGUGCCGAAGCUAACGCAUUAAGUGCCCCGCCUGGGGAGUACGGCCGCAAGGUUAAAACUCAAAGGAAUUGACGG
Molecule: ribosomal RNA, 893 nt
Filed under: uncultured bacterium
Lineage: Bacteria
Description: bacterial SSU rRNA
Rfam family: Bacterial small subunit ribosomal RNA
Source: RNAcentral